This is a small nuclear RNA of Rattus norvegicus (Norway rat), 158 nucleotides long. Ensembl annotates it as U1 spliceosomal RNA. NCBI's taxonomy places the organism in Eukaryota, Metazoa, Chordata, Mammalia, Rodentia, Muridae. The record is from Ensembl.
UUAAUGUUGAAAGAAUAAAAGAUUGUCAGAGAAGGUACUAUGAUCGUGAAGAUGUUUAUCCAUUGCAUUUCGGAUGUGCUGAUCCCUGUAAAUUCCCCAAAUUGGGGAAACUUGACUGUAAUUUGUGAAUGAGGAAAUUGUGUAUGCACACCCCUACC